CCUACGGGGGGCUGCAGUAGGGAAUAUUGGGCAAUGGGCGCAAGCCUGACCCAGCGACGCCGCGUGAGGGAUGAAGGUCUUCGGAUUGUAAACCUCUUUCAGUAGGGAAGAAGCGAAAGUGACGGUACCUACAAAAGAAGCACCGGCUAACUAUGUGCCAGCAGCCGCGGUAAUACAUAGGGUGCAAGCGUUGUCCGGAAUUAUUGGGCGUAAAGAGCUCGUAGGUCGUUUGUUACGUCGGAUGUGAAAACCUGAGGCUCAACCUCAGGCCUGCAUUCGAUACGGGCAAACUAGAGUUUGGUAGGGGAGACUGGAAUUCCUGGUGUAGCGGUGGAAUGCGCAGAUAUCAGGAGGAACACCAAUGGCGAAGGCAGGUCUCUGGGCCAAUACUGACACUGAGGAGCGAAAGUCUGGGGAGCGAACAGGAUUA
RNAcentral lists this ribosomal RNA (430 nucleotides) under uncultured bacterium. Its description in RNAcentral is "bacterial SSU rRNA". It matches the Rfam family "Bacterial small subunit ribosomal RNA", at positions 338 to 780 of the family's 1533-position model. The record is from RNAcentral.